UACGAAGGGGGCUAGCGUUGCUCGGAAUCACUGGGCGUAAAGGGUGCGUAGGCGGGGUUUUAAGUCAGAGGUGAAAUCCUGGAGCUCAACUCCAGAACUGCCUUUGAUACUGAAGAUCUUGAGUUCGGGAGAGGUGAGUGGAACUGCGAGUGUAGAGGUGAAAUUCGUAGAUAUUCGCAGGAACACCAGUGGCGAAGGCGGCUUACUGGUCCGAUACUGACGCUGAGGUGCGAAAGCGUGGGGAGCAAACAGG
This 253-nucleotide ribosomal RNA is filed under the name uncultured bacterium. RNAcentral's name for it is "partial 16S ribosomal RNA". It matches the Rfam family "Bacterial small subunit ribosomal RNA", at positions 524 to 776 of the family's 1533-position model. The record is from RNAcentral.